This 458-nucleotide ribosomal RNA is filed under the name Microcystis ichthyoblabe. RNAcentral's name for it is "bacterial SSU rRNA". It matches the Rfam family "Bacterial small subunit ribosomal RNA", at positions 129 to 619 of the family's 1533-position model. Lineage: Bacteria; Bacillati; Cyanobacteriota; Cyanophyceae; Chroococcales; Microcystaceae. The record is from RNAcentral.
ACUUCAGGACGGGGGACAACAGUUGGAAACGACUGCUAAUACCCGAUGUGCCGAAAGGUGAAACCUAAUUGGCCUGAAGAAGAGCUUGCGUCUGAUUAGCUAGUUGGUGGGGUAAAGGCCUACCAAGGCGACGAUCAGUAGCUGGUCUGAGAGGAUGAGCAGCCACACUGGGACUGAGACACGGCCCAGACUCCUACGGGAGGCAGCAGUGGGGAAUUUUCCGCAAUGGGCGAAAGCCUGACGGAGCAACGCCGCGUGGGGGAGGAAGGUCUUUGGAUUGUAAACCUCUUUUCUCAAGGAAGAAGUUCUGACGGUACUUGAGGAAUCAGCCUCGGCUAACUCCGUGCCAGCAGCCGCGGUAAUACGGGGGAGGCAAGCGUUAUCCGGAAUUAUUGGGCGUAAAGCGUCCGCAGGUGGUCAGCCAAGUCUGCCGUCAAAUCAGGUUGCUUAACGACCUA